UACGGGGAGGGCAAGCGUUGUUCGGAAUUACUGGGCGUAAAGGGCUCGUAGGCGGCCAACUAAGUCAGACGUGAAAUCCCCAGGCUCAACCUGGGAACUGCGUCUGAUACUGGAUGGCUUGAAUUCGGGAGAGGGAUGCAGAAUUCCAGGUGUAGCGGUGAAAUGCGUAGAUAUCUGGAGGAAUACCGGUGGCGAAGGCAGGUCUCUGGGCAUUAACUGACGCUGAGGAGCGAAAGCAUGGGGAGCGAACAGG
Molecule: ribosomal RNA, 253 nt
Filed under: uncultured bacterium
Lineage: Bacteria
Description: partial 16S ribosomal RNA
Rfam family: Bacterial small subunit ribosomal RNA
Source: RNAcentral